GCCAGGCAUUGUGGCGUGUGCCUGUAGUCCCAGCUACUUGGGAGGCUGAGGUGGGAGAAUCACUUGAACCCAGGAGGCUGAGGUUGUAGUGAGCCGAGACUGUGCCACUGCACUCCAGCCUGGGUGACAGAGCGAGACUCCAUCUCAA
RNAcentral lists this signal recognition particle RNA (148 nucleotides) under Gorilla gorilla gorilla (western lowland gorilla). RNAcentral's name for it is "Metazoan signal recognition particle RNA". It matches the Rfam family "Metazoan signal recognition particle RNA". Rfam says of the family: The signal recognition particle (SRP) is a universally conserved ribonucleoprotein. It is involved in the co-translational targeting of proteins to membranes. The record is from Rfam by way of RNAcentral. Lineage: Eukaryota; Metazoa; Chordata; Mammalia; Primates; Hominidae.